AGCAGCCGCGGUAAUUCCAGCUCCAAUAGCGCAUAUUAAAGUUGUUGCAGUUAAAAAGCUCGUAGUUGAAUUUCGGGAUCAAUAUUUCGGUCAUGCCGUUGGUAUGCACUGUUAUCAUUGAUUUCUCACCUUCUAAAGAACCGUAAUGCCAUUAAUUUGGUGUUACGGGGAAUUAGGACUGUUACCUUGAAAAAAUUAGAAUGUUUAAAGCAGGCUUACGCUUGAAUACAUUAGCAUGGAAUAAUGAAAUAGGACGUUUGAUUCUAUUUUGUUGGUUUCUAGGAUUGACGUAAUGAUUAAUAGGGAUAGUUGGGGGCAUUAGUAUUCAAUUGUCAGAGGUGAAAUUCUUGGAUUUAUUGAAGACUAACUACUGCGAAAGCAUUUGCCAAGGAUGUUUUCAUUAAUCAAGAACGAAAGUUAGGGGAUCGAAGACGAUCAGAUACCGUCGUAGUCUUAACCAUAAACUAUGCCGACUAGGAAUCAGACGAUGUAAUUUUUAAUGUACNCGUUUGGCACCUUA
This 520-nucleotide ribosomal RNA is filed under the name uncultured Glomus. RNAcentral's name for it is "SSU rRNA". It matches the Rfam family "Eukaryotic small subunit ribosomal RNA", at positions 569 to 1090 of the family's 1831-position model. Lineage: Eukaryota; Fungi; Glomeromycota; Glomeromycetes; Glomerales; Glomeraceae. The record is from RNAcentral.